RNAcentral lists this ribosomal RNA (1868 nucleotides) under human gut metagenome. Its description in RNAcentral is "bacterial LSU rRNA". It matches the Rfam family "Bacterial large subunit ribosomal RNA", at positions 496 to 2447 of the family's 2925-position model. The record is from RNAcentral.
UAGUACUGUGAAGGAAAGGUGAAAAGCACCCCGGGAGGGGAGUGAAAGAGAACCUGAAACCCUGUGCUUACAAGCACUUAGAGCACGUCAAAGUGUGAUAAGGUACCUAUUGUAGAAUGGUCCGGCGAGUUAUUGUAUGCAGCGAGGUUAAGUAGUUCAGCUACGGAGCCGAAGUGAGAGCGAGUGUUAACAGCACGUUCAGUUGCAUGCAAUAGACCCGAAACCGGGUGACCUAUCCAUGUCCAGGAUGAAGUGAGGGUAAAACCUCAUGGAGGUCCGAACCCACUCCCGUUGAAAUGGUAGGGGAUGAGGUGUGGAUAGCGGAGAAAUUCCAAUCGAACCCGGAUAUAGCUGGUUCUCCCCGAAAUAGUUUUAGGACUAGCCUCGUGAUUAAGAUUAUCGGAGGUAAAGCACUGAAUGGCCUAGGGGUCGAGAGAUUACCGAAGCCUAUCAAACUCUGAAUGCCGAAUAAUCAUGCACGGGAGUCAGACUGUGUGAGAUAAGUUUCAUAGUCGAAAGGGAAACAGCCCAGACCUACAGCUAAGGUCCCAAAGUACGUUUAAGUGGAAAACGAUGUGAAAUUGCGUAGACAACCAGGAUGUUGGCUUAGAAGCAGCCAUACAUUAAAAGAGUGCGUAAUAGCUCACUGGUCGAGUGACUUUGCGCGGAAAAUUUAACGGGGCUAAAACGUACACCGAAGCUUAGGCUUGUCACAAUGUGACAGGGGUAGGGGAGCGUUGAAUGAGGGGUGAAGUCGUAGCGAAAGCGACGGUGGACUUCAUUCAAGUGAGAAUGCCGGAAUGAGUAGCGAGAAUUAUGUGAGAAUCAUAAUGGCCGAAAGCCUAAGGUUUUUGGAGGAAGGUUCGUCCGCUCCAAGUAAGUCGGAAGCUAAGGUGAGGCUGAAAAGCGUAGCCGAUGCACAAACGGUUGAAAUUCCGUUACCACAGAAAGAUUUAAACUAAGGGACACUUUUGAAGAGCUGAUGCCGGGUGUUGGUUACCCCGGUCGUAAGGGAACGAAAUUAAGUAGUGAAGUCAGCGUGGAUGAAGGCGAGAAAAGCUUAGUGUAUAUCUUAUGUGUCCGUACCGCAAACCGACACAGGUAGGUAGGAAGAGAAUUCUAAGGCCAACGGGAGAAGGGUAGUUAAGGAACUCGGCAAAAUGUCCCCGUAACUUCGGAAUAAGGGGAGGUUUCUACGGAAACCCGCAGAGAAUAGUCCCAGGCAACUGUUUAUCAAAAACACAGCUCUAUGCUAAAUCGAAAGAUGACGUAUAUGGGGUGACGCCUGCCCGGUGCCGGAAGGUUAAGAGGAGGAGUGAGAGCCCUGAAUCGAAGCCCCGGUAAACGGCGGCCGUAACUAUAACGGUCCUAAGGUAGCGAAAUUCCUUGUCAGGUAAGUUCUGACCCGCACGAAUGGCGUAAUGAUCUGGGAGCUGUCUCAACUGCCCGCCCGGCGAAAUUGUAGUACCGGUGAAGAUGCCGGUUACCCGCGACUAGACGGAAAGACCCCAUGGAGCUUUACUGUAGCUUAAUAUUGGAUUUCGGCAUUUCAUGUACAGGAUAGGUGGGAGACUAGGAAACAUAGGCGUCAGCUUAUGCGGAGUCGUCCUUGGGAUACCACUCUUGGAGUGCUGAAAUUCUAACCUGCAGCCCUGAAUCGGGUUGGGGGACAUUGUUAGGUGGGCAGUUUGACUGGGGCGGUCGCCUCCAAAAAGGUAACGGAGGCGCUCAAAGGUUGGCUCAGCAUGGAUGGAAACCAUGCCAUAGAGUGCAAACGCAAAAGCCAGCCUGACUGCGAGACUGACGGGUCGAGCAGAAACGAAAGUUGGAGUUAGUGAUCCGGCGGUAUGUGAAUGGAAAUGCCGUCG